RNAcentral lists this ribosomal RNA (460 nucleotides) under uncultured bacterium. Its description in RNAcentral is "partial 16S ribosomal RNA". It matches the Rfam family "Bacterial small subunit ribosomal RNA", at positions 338 to 795 of the family's 1533-position model. The record is from RNAcentral.
CCUACGGGCGGCAGCAGUGAGGAAUCUUGGUCAAUGGACGAGAGUCUGACCCAGCAAAGUAGCGUGAAGGAUGACUGCCCUAUGGGUUGUAAACUUCUUUUAUAAAGGAAUAAAACGAGGCACGUGUGCCUUUUUGCAUGUACUUUAUGAAUAAGGAUCGGCUAACUCCGUGCCAGCAGCCGCGGUAAUACGGAGGAUCCGAGCGUUAUCCGGCUUUAUUGGGUUUAAAGGGAGCGUAGAUGGGUUGUUAAGUCAGUUGUGAAAGGUUGCGGCUCAACCGUAAAAUUGCAAUUGAUACUGGCAGUCUUGAGUACAGUUGAGGUAGGCGGAAUUCGUGGUGUAGCGGUGAAAUGCUUAGAUAUCACGAAGAACCCCGAUUGCGAAGGCAGCUUACUAAACUGUGACUGACAUUGAUGCUCGAAAGUGUGGGUAUCAAACAGGAUUAGAUACCCCAGUAGUC